GUGAGUAAGAAGACAGCCUACAUCACAUCAGGGGUUUGGUGGGAAAGGAGACUGCGAGACAGUUUGCGUUCUCUCGUGGUAGAAUGACACAGUUUGGUAACCGGUUGACUGAAGAGGGUUGAAUGAGGACGAGGGGGUGGUGGUUGAAAGAUGGUUAAAUAUGAUCCUGAGUUUACAUGCCUGUGCUAGGAACACAGAAAAAAAGAACACAGGAAAUGCAUGGGGGAUGAGAGAAGAUGCCUUCCCACUGUCCCAAACACAGUCUGUUGCAGCCUUCUUUGGAUUCUUUAAUGUAUAGCUGUCUCUCAAGGCAUCUGAACUCUAUCCCUGUUCUUCAGACUUCCCCUUUGCCCCAUCUCCAGCUGGCUAAAUCUUCAUUUUCUCCAAGAGCCUCGUUUGAUUCCCAUAAUCUGGGUCAGAACCCUUUUCUAGAUUCUUGCCUUUCUUUUCCAUAUGUCUCACUGGAAAGUGACUGCUGUCCCAGAAAGCCUGUCAUUUCCCCGAGGGCAGGACCCAUGUCUGCCUUAUUUCCUGCUCUAGUUGCAGAACUGAGGACAUUGCCUAGCACACAGUAGGCACUCACAUUGGGCUUGGAGCAUCCACAGCUGUACCUGGAAAUAAGAGUUCACCGAUAGUUCAGAUCCAGACCCACGAGGAGAGAACAGCAUUCUGGGAUAUGUAGUUUCCAGACUGGCUGAGUAGCAACACUCUUAUGAGCCAAAGGAAUGGGAGUCACAAGGCACAGGAGAAGCAAGCUUUAAUAUCCUGGAGCCAGGCAGGAAAGCUGGAGCCUUGGGCUCACGCUGGGGUCUUUGCUGUACCGGGAGCAUCACUAUGUUGCAGGUUGUCAUCACUUAUGGAGGGACUACUCUGACAGAAACCCAGAAGGACAAAGAAGCCCACUAUUUUGCAGGAGGCAGCUGAGGACAACCUGAGGCCUCCUGUGUUGGAUGAAGAGGGCUAAUUCUUCUGGCUUAAAGACAUAGUGCAAUAGGGACAGCUAUUCAGUGACAAGUUUCAUGAGAUCCUUUCUGCACUGUUCUCCCUGUCUGGAAAAGCCACCAGCUGGUAAUGCUAUAGUCAAGCAGUCAUUCUACAUAGCCACACCUAGUGAUGUGAUCAUUGGUAGCCUCACCUGGUUUGAAUUUCCAAAACACACUUCUGGAAAAGUAAGGGGUCUGAGUUACAGAUCCAGGGUGUAGGAAAAAUCCCCCUGAAAACUGUAUCUUAGACCCCGGUGGCCAGAGAUGCAGGCGUAGUAGAAAAGCAUGAUUUGGUCUUUUCAUGGGAGCCCAGCCCAGACCCAGACGAAGCUCCUGUUCUAAGGGCCAUGAUUGAAAUUCCUCGUGGAAAGUCUGUCUUUGAGACACCAAGACACCUCAUUUAAUUCCCAUUUCCUUUUUAAGUCAGGUCCCUCCUUCCUGAGAACCACAUUUAAAGUUGCUAGCUGGCUUUCCUUCUGUUUUUGCUAUUUGUGUGCCAACUUCAAGGGUGGGGAGAGCCACGUUAAUUUAAAAAUAUAGCACAAAUAGCAAAACGAGGCUUGAUUUAAGGUAAAAACCACAGAAAGGGUUUUCCCCUUCCCUUCUGUGUUUUUCAGACUUUCCUAGAUCCACUAUUAAUUCUUCAGAGCCCAGACAUAGAAAGUGAUUGAGGCACACUGGAUGCUCUUCCAGACUAAAACAAAAAGCCUCCAGUGGACUCUCUCAUUGCCCCUUCAGACUUUAUUUUAAAGAGGGCUUAAGAAAGCUGGCCAAACUCCAUUCAUGGUAGGAUCUUGCUAAGCACCCUAGAUUUGGUGUUAUAAACUACCCUUUUGGAUCAGUUGUCCACUUGGGCAUCUUGGUUUUGGGAAUGUGGCUUUAAGAGUAGAGUUCCUAGAUCAAAUCCUGGCCUCAUUAUUUAUUAGUUUUCUGACUUUACAUCAAUGGGAAUCAUGAUUCACAAUGUUCAGUCCAUAGUGAGUCAAGGUCUAAAAAGAGCCUGGAGCAAAAGGAGCGACCAAUAGGCGGUGGCUAUUAUGAAAAUAGACCGUUUCAUCUGUCGGCUCCCUCUUUAGUCUCCAUUUCCGGUUUUGGAAAGGAAAGAAAAUUCGUUAUCUAUUUCAAGUGGAGGAUCUACCUCCAUUUUAAAUCACUCAGGGACUCACCAGAAGGGGAGGCCAGACCGCACUGAAUUUGCAAUACCCAGGCCUUUAAACCGAAUGGAAGCCCCAUUCUUGCCACUUAACAGAACACGGGCGAGCAGAUUGGGACUUGGGAAGCCUCGAAGGGAUAGCAAUUGCUCAGUCUAAAGACACAGGUCUAAGAUACGUGGGUGGGGGAAUUCACCUGAAGAAGGAAAGCCUCUGCAAGUGUUUGUAGGCAGAGCUGACAGUAGUGAAACUCCAUGCGCGUGCGGCAGCGCCCUCUGCCGGCCUCGGGGAGGGCAAAUCUGGAGCCUGGCCCCACGGCUGGUCAAAUGGGACUCCGGAUCCUUUCUGCUGCCUCCGCCCCCGCUCCGUCCCUUCCCGUGAUCGCGCAGCCUGGUCUGGGACUGGAUUCCAGGAGAGGCGUCCCCAUCCUACGCCUGAAGGCAGAGCAAGGACGCUGCUCUAAAACACCCGGUUCAUCAGCAGAGCGGAGGCUGCAGGAACCUACCCAAACCCACCUGGGGCUGCUUUUGCCUCCCGGAAACCCGGGCAGAAGCCUGCGGGGCGGUCGGAGGUGGUUUGGAAGUGGCAUCGCCUAUGGCCAAGACCGAGGGUUCUGCGGACAGAGAGGAGCCCUGGGUUCGCUUUCUGCCUCAUCCAGCUAGGUGACCUUGGGCAAGGUAAAUCAAAGCAUGUGAACUGUACAUUGAAGCCCAGCCUUUAAGAGGAAACAUAAAGGCCAGUCCUACAUCUUUGGCCAGAAGUCAGAGAGCAGAAAGGAGGCCUGUCAGCAACGCCGGAGUCAGUUUCAGGCAGCUGUAGCUUGGACAAAGCAAAAUUCUUACAUCUGUUUCCCACAUCUGCAUUAAUGGCAUGACCUUUGAUCUAUUUAUAAAUGAAGAAAAUAUCUCUUGCUUUUUAUGGAGCAAGGAUUUUAUGGUUAAAAUUCAUUAAUUACUCAUUGAAAAGUCUUUGGGAUCCUUGACAUGAAAGGCAUUUAUUUAAACAGAGCUUCUCAAAGGUAAAUGGCCUUGCAGUAACAUCCGUCCCCACAGAUGUAGCAUGUGUGCUUUUUUUUUUUUGCCUAGAAUAGUGGAUCUAGCCUCCUACAACAUAACACCACCAGUUGUAAGCCACCUCCAGACCAGAAUAUCAGCAAAAAACCCACA
RNAcentral lists this long non-coding RNA (3300 nucleotides) under Cricetulus griseus (Chinese hamster). RNAcentral's name for it is "lncRNA (ENSCGRG00015028956.1)". Lineage: Eukaryota; Metazoa; Chordata; Mammalia; Rodentia; Cricetidae. The record is from RNAcentral.